This 1758-nucleotide long non-coding RNA is filed under the name Lactuca sativa (garden lettuce). RNAcentral's name for it is "long non-coding RNA (LSAT_LNC001658)". The stretch from base 279 to 498 matches the Rfam family "MIR167 microRNA precursor family". Lineage: Eukaryota; Viridiplantae; Streptophyta; Magnoliopsida; Asterales; Asteraceae. The record is from RNAcentral.
UGUUAAUGUGUGUGUGAGAGAGUGAGAGAGAGAUGAAUAAGUCAACUUUGAAUAGCUGGAAGAAAGCUACAAAUCCUCACUACUGUUGAGAUCUCUCUCUAUAUAUGGUGAUACUGUUACAAACGGAAAAGAUGCAUAGUUCCUCUCUAUUUCUUCUCCUCUCCUCUAUCUUAAUUAGGGUUGAGGCCGCAGGGUCAUUUUGGAGCCAUAAAAAUAACUUUUCACCAAAAGUUUGAGUCUUGUUGCACCCUUUGUUCGAUGAGUUCUUGUGUUCAUGUUGGUUUGAGAGAUUGAAGCUGCCAGCAUGAUCUGGAAGUGCCAAACCGUGUCUCCUUUUUGUGCUUGUGCUAUAUAUAUAGAUAAUUUAUAGGCUAGAUAUAUAUAUGUUCAGUUGUCUUUUUGUGGGUUUUUAGUGUUGUGUUAAUAUACAUGUGUUUAGGGGUAGGGUAAGGGGAGGAUAAUUACCAGGUCAUCCUUGCAGCUUCAAUCACUCAUGCCCAACAAUUUUUCAUACAGAGGAAACAUGAAGAAUUUCCUUCAACACUGUGUUGUCUUUUUCAUGUUCUUGUUAAUUAGCAGUGGCCAAUUACAAAUCUACACAAGUAAGUACUACUUGAUUGUUUCUCUUUUACUUUUCUUUUUCAUCUAUCAUUGUUCAAUUUUCUUAUUAUUUUCCCCAACUAACUUUUUAAUUUCAUCUCAAUUUAACUUAAUUAUUUGCAUUUAAUAAUUAGUUUGAAGCAUCUCUUUUAACUUUAGUUUGGUUAAAAACUCAUGCUUUUUGUUUUUGCUUCUCAUGCGGAUCAUAUUUUAUCAUUGUUGUGCCUACUUUUCUUUAGUUUUUUGGCUUCAAAACUUGAUAUGUAUUAAUUAAAUGCUUGUGUAUGUCAAGGUUCAUUGCAUCACCUUUUUUCUGCCAAGUUAAUAAGAAAAGUAUCCUGAAAGAAAUGUCACAAUUAUUGAGAUCUAUGUUUUAUUUUGAUAACACGAAACAAAUUAAUUGCCAAUGUUUUGUCAACAUCGUGGAGCUAGAGGGUAGAGAUGCAUAAAAGGCUUGACAGCUAAUAAGGUUUUUGUACACAUUAGAUGUACAUGCGUAAAAACCGCUACAACAUGUGUGACGGCAUAUUGAUUAAAUUUACAUCUGAAGAUCAUGACCAAUUAGGUAUGUCAAAUAGAAAUAUAACUUACAGUAAAUUGAGUUGUGUUUCAGUGUAUGUAAUAAAGUAAAAAAGGGACAUGAGCUGAACUUGAAAAAGUAUAUAUAGCUGCAGUCAUUAAUGACUAGCAUGUGUUACAUUAACCUUUCAUUGUCGUAGUACUUCCUCAAAAACAAGUAAAACUACUAACCUUUCUGAAAAUAGUAGAUUCAACCUUUGUUUUUUGGACACUUCAUUGUCUACUUCUUUCUUUGAUGUAUAUGAGCAGUAACACUCAACAAGCAGACUUGGAAAUGUGGUUAAUGGCUCAUUAUAUAUGUAGAAGGUAACGUCAUCUCACUUAAUUAAUAUAAGAGUUUCUAGAUACUUGACACGAUGAAGUGGAGAAUGUAUGGACAUCUGAUUGAGAAAACCAAAUACGUAGCAUGUCCAUCAAAACAAUAGUAGUUCAGCAUCAUCAAAGACUCGUUAUAUAACCAAAAACUUCAAGGACUCAUUAUUAUAUGAAUAACAAUGGAGAGCACUAAUGAACAGAUUCAAGUUGAGAGAAUCAACACCAACAUACACACACAACGUGUAUUUUAUAUAUAUAUAUAUA